Oryza rufipogon (brownbeard rice) is the source of this 204-nucleotide microRNA precursor. It matches the Rfam family "MIR812 microRNA precursor family". NCBI's taxonomy places the organism in Eukaryota, Viridiplantae, Streptophyta, Magnoliopsida, Poales, Poaceae. The record is from Rfam.
AAUAAACGCAACCAUGAGUUUCCGUGUCCAACUUUGAUCGUCCGUCUUAUUUGAAACUUUUUUAUGAUUGGUAUUUUUGUUGUUGCUAGAAUAUAAAACAUGAGUAAUAAUUUAUGCAUGACUUCUAUUUUUUAGUUUUUUUUAAAAAAAUUAAAUAAGACGGACGAUUAAAGUUGGACACGAAAACUCAUGGAUGCGCUUAUU